UGCGGAGGAGGCAAGCGUUAUCCGGAAUUAUUGGGCGUAAAGCGUCCGCAGGUGGCUAUUCAAGUCUGCGGUCAAAGACUGGGGCUUAACCCUGGAAAGGCCGUGGAAACUGAAGAGCUAGAGUGCAGUAGGGGUAGAGGGAAUUCCCGGUGUAGCGGUGAAAUGCGUAGAGCUCGGGAAGAACAUCGGUGGCGAAAGCGCUCUGCUGGACUGCAACUGACACUCAGGGACGAAAGCUAGGGGAGCGAAUGGG
This 253-nucleotide ribosomal RNA is filed under the name uncultured bacterium. Its description in RNAcentral is "partial 16S ribosomal RNA". It matches the Rfam family "Bacterial small subunit ribosomal RNA", at positions 524 to 776 of the family's 1533-position model. The record is from RNAcentral.